UUCGCCCAUUAAAGCGGUACGCGAGCUGGGUUCAGAACGUCGUGAGACAGUUCGGUCCCUAUCUGUCGUGGGCGUAGGAAAUUUGAGAGGAGCUGUCCUUAGUACGAGAGGACCGGGAUGGACGUACCGCUGGUGCACCAGUUGUUCCGCCAGGAGCAUGGCUGGGUAGCUACGUACGGAAGGGAUAAGCGCUGAAAGCAUCUAAGCGUGAAGCCC
This 216-nucleotide ribosomal RNA is filed under the name Acinetobacter baumannii. RNAcentral's name for it is "partial 23S ribosomal RNA". It matches the Rfam family "Bacterial large subunit ribosomal RNA", at positions 2580 to 2795 of the family's 2925-position model. The record is from RNAcentral. Lineage: Bacteria; Pseudomonadati; Pseudomonadota; Gammaproteobacteria; Moraxellales; Moraxellaceae.